AUUUGCCUUGACUGAGCUCUCCUCUGCAGAGAAAGGCUGACAGUUUCCUUUAUUCCAUGUAGGACCUGUUCUAAAUAUCUGAAUGCAUCUUGUAGCAAUGAAAUCUACAUACACAGUUUGACUGAAUAUCAAAGGAAGAAGAUCAACAGUGAUACAGCCCUUAUUAGCCUUUCUAUCUCAGUGCAAAGAAUACAACAUCCAGAAGCUGGGAAAGAGGGAAUUAAAUUAAUUCAUUUUCCUUCAGUCUGGCACUACCUUCAGUG
Molecule: long non-coding RNA, 263 nt
Organism: Corapipo altera (White-ruffed manakin)
Lineage: Eukaryota; Metazoa; Chordata; Aves; Passeriformes; Pipridae
Exons: 3
Source: RefSeq, a predicted model, not a curated record